CUCGUCCCCUGCAGUCCUCAGGCAGCAGGUUGCCCUUCUGCAAUCAGCUUACUUCUGGAAGCCACUGUAGAUACUCAGCCUAAUUUGAUUUUCCAUGUGUAAAGAUAUGAAGAACCUGAGACUCACCUUGCUUAAGUGACUUGAGCAGCUUCAUGCAUCUUAGAAAACUGCAAAUUAGAACAGCAGAGCUGUGCCUCUGGCCAUUUCCUGGAACUACAGAGGAGCAACUUGCCCCUGGUUUCCAGUGGGUGAUGUUCCUCUUCUGCCACAGCCCCCAGCGAUGUUGAUGUGAUUGCCAUCAGAGCUCAGAAGCACAGAGCAGAAUCAUCCCCUGGAGGAGGAU
RNAcentral lists this long non-coding RNA (343 nucleotides) under Pongo abelii (Sumatran orangutan). Its description in RNAcentral is "lincRNA". Lineage: Eukaryota; Metazoa; Chordata; Mammalia; Primates; Hominidae. The record is from RNAcentral.